UAACAUCCCAUAUAUCCCAUAUAACCCCAUAUAACCCCAUAUAACCCCAUAUAACAUCCCAUAUAUCCCAUAUAACCCCAUAUAACCCCAUAUAACCCCAUAUAUCCCAUAUAACAUCCCAUAUAUCCCAUAUAACCCCAUAUAACAUCCCAUAUAUCCCAUAUAACCCCAUAUAUCCCAUAUAACCCCAUAUAACCCCAUAUAACCCCAUAUAACCCCAUACAAUCCCAUAUAACCCCAUAUAUCCCCUAUAACACUCACUGAGUCUGAGUGAUCCCGCUAACCCCCUAAUGACGGUUAUGGGGUUUUUGGGGUCGGUGCAGAACUGCAGCAGGACGGGGGAGAACGCGUCCCGUUUGCUCUCCAGCUGUGGGAGCAGCCAAUCAGAGCCCGACCCUGACGCCACGCCCACCCCCCAGCAGCCAAUAGGAACGCAAGGAAUCCCCUCUUCCCUCCCACGCACACACAAUCCACGCCCGCGGACCAAUGGGAGAGGGAGACGCUCAGAUACUGACCAAUCGAAGAGGGGAUGCCCAGGGAUACGCCCACCCAUCGACCAAUCAGAGAGAGGACAGCUGGGGAGUGAGCCAAUCAGGGAGGGGACGCCCCGGGGGAUGCCCAAUCAGGGAGGGGAUGCCCCAGGAGUGCUUAUCUCUGAGCCAAUCAGAGAGGGGAUGCCCUCAGAGAUGCCCAACCACAGACCAAUCAGAGAGAGGACGCCCGGGGAGUGCCUAUAUCUGAGCCAAUCAGAGAGGGGAUGCCCCAGGAGACGUCCAAUCAGAGAGAGGACACCCGAGGAGUGCCUAUGUCUGAGCCAAUCAGAGAGGGGAUGCCCAGAAAAACACCCCCAGGGUCAACCAAUCAGAAAGGGCAUCUCCCCCCCCCCAAAAAAAAAAGGAAUUGGGGCAAUAAACCAAUCAGGAAAGAGACGCCCGGAAAAAGCACCUGGGAAUCAACCAAUCAGAGAGGAGCUCCCUAAAACACACCCAAUGGGGAAGCGAGAAGCUCAGAAACGCACUCUGGGCAUCAGCCAAUCAGGAUCCUCCAGAAAACCGCCCCGCCCCCAAUCGGGCAUCGACCAAUCAGAGAGGAGAUCAGACACUAGCCCCCCUCCCCCGGCAGCCAAUGGGAGCACAGGGUGGUCAUGGGGCAGCCAAUGGGAGCGCAGGGUGGAAUGGGGCAGCCAAUGAGAGUGCAGGGUGGAAUGGGGCAGCCAAUGGGAGCGCAGGGUGGAAUGGGGCAGCCAAUGGGAGCGCAGGGUGGAAUGGGGCAGCCAAUGGGAGCGCAGG
RNAcentral lists this long non-coding RNA (1289 nucleotides) under Coturnix japonica (Japanese quail). RNAcentral describes it as "lncRNA (ENSCJPG00005002906.1)". The record is from RNAcentral. Lineage: Eukaryota; Metazoa; Chordata; Aves; Galliformes; Phasianidae.